UAAAGUUGAGUGAUUUUAUUUUAACAAAUUAAAAUUUAAGGAUAGAACGAAAGUACCCUCAAAGUUCAAAGACAGUUGGUACAAUUAACCCCAUUAUUAUUAUUAUUCUUUUGGUUGAGCAUGUAGAACUUGUUCUGUUCACAAAAGACAAGAUCUAGUAGUCUAGAAACAACACUAGCAGCACACCUUUUUUUUCAAGUAUUUCACUAUUUUCUGCUACUUAAUUACAAACCUAGUACACUAAGAGAGGAAAACAAGGUUGCAAUUAGCCAAGCCAUAACUUAGUAUUGAUGAUUUAUCGGGAAGAAGGUGGAGAUUCCCCUUGAAGAAAGGCUGAGAAGAAUGCCAGUGACUCGCUUGGUUUGAAGAUAGGCACAGCAUGACCAGCUCCUCUAAAUGUUGCAAAUAUAAGCCCCUCAUAUUCUUGAAACCAACCACUGACCUGCUUCUGGUGGUACCAUGGCCUCCAUGCUUUGAUGACAGGUAGUCCCAGAGAGCCUAAGCUGUAUCUUGUGGACAAUACAGGAACUCUUCCAUCUGUAUCUCCACUGUA
This 553-nucleotide unclassified non-coding RNA is filed under the name Hevea brasiliensis (rubber tree). The record is from RNAcentral. Lineage: Eukaryota; Viridiplantae; Streptophyta; Magnoliopsida; Malpighiales; Euphorbiaceae.